This 237-nucleotide ribosomal RNA is filed under the name uncultured bacterium. RNAcentral describes it as "partial 16S ribosomal RNA". It matches the Rfam family "Bacterial small subunit ribosomal RNA", at positions 15 to 217 of the family's 1533-position model. The record is from RNAcentral.
GAUCCUGGCUCAGGAUGAACGCUGGCGGCGUGCUUAACACAUGCAAGUCGAACGAAGCACCUCUCCCGAAGAUUGACACAGCUUGCUGUAGAUUGAUUCAUUUGAGGUGACUGAGUGGCGGACGGGUGAGUAACGCGUGGGUAACCUGCCUCAUAGAGGGGGGACAACAGUUGGAAACGACUGCUAAUACCGCAUAGUAAGAAGAAUUCGCAUGUUUUCUUCUUGAAAGAUUUAUCG